RNAcentral lists this unclassified non-coding RNA (2248 nucleotides) under Leishmania donovani. Its description in RNAcentral is "gene:LdHU3.23.0020(CDS-product:hypothetical_prote in_conserved)". The record is from RNAcentral. Lineage: Eukaryota; Euglenozoa; Kinetoplastea; Trypanosomatida; Trypanosomatidae.
CCUCUCACAUUUCGGUGCACGAUAACCGGUGCCGCUAUACAUCUUCGAGGUGGUUGUGUGGUAUGCUCACAGUCUUUGUUUAUCGGUGCUAGACCGCUGCCUGUGAGGCUUGUACAUGGAUUCGACCGUUUUCCAACGUAUACAAUGUGGGAUCCUCUCAGCUACAUCUAUCAGGCCGUUGGGUCGAAGUAUACGGAAAGCAGCUGUGUGACGCUUCCCUCGUUUUACGAGUACACCACCCGCCCCUUUCUGCUGAGCAAGGAGGAAGAGCAGCUACGUUCUAAAAUGGCCGCGGAAAGGGUAGCUUGGAAGUCGCUGUCUCUCUCCUUUUGUGGCAACGACUACGCAGCACACUACUGCAGCGACCGAGGCGCCGAAGAGUUUGUGGAGAAUGUGAGGGUCGUUGUGAAGAGCAUCGAAGAUGACGUCACCAGGGGCGAGAGCAUCUUUUCUGGCUUUCUGGAGCAGGUAGACAAGCUCCAAAAAUCAAGCAGAGGUGCUUUGGCGGACAUUGUGUUCGAAAAGGAUGUCUCUGUGGACACUUUGUAUACGCGCGAGGCGUUCCUGUGCUUUGAGCUUCGAAAAAGGCUUCGUGUUCCUGUACCCGUAUCGACACUGCUGUUGGAGCGGGGCAGUUUCCAUUUUUUGAUCAAGGGCGAAGUCUGUACUGUUCCCAUGGCUGCGAUGAUCGACAGUGACGGCGCCCCUGUGCAUUACGAGGGCAUCGUGUUAGAGUCUGACAUACUCUGCUGCAGCAAUGGAAUCUGCAGAAGUGGUAGGGAUUCAAAGGACCGCUGCUUUGUCACUGUCUUGUCAGCGGACGCAAUGGGCUGCGCAGCAGGUCUGUUGUCAGCGGAGGCUGUAGUGGAAGAUGAGUAUGUGGAAAAGGCUCUGCGAACACUGGUGGAUGCUGGUGUACUUGUCUGUUUUUCUUCCGUAUGCAACGAUGGCUGUGUGUACCAAUACGAGCAGCAUGCAAAGGAGAGCGAUAGCUCUGCGCUGGCCGUGGCAGCUCAGCAUUACGCUGCGGCACAUCGUACUCGCGUAGUUCGCUGCAGCAGAAACGCGGAUGCGAUGCACCUUCUGAAUGCCGAUUCGAGCAAAUGUAUGCCGCGGGAUGUGGCAGCUCUCGAUUUGGCUUUGCAUUGUCCAACGCUAGUGGCCACCAUGAAAACUGUGUCUGGGCCUUCGUACUUCGAAGUGGUGCGUCGUUUUUCGCUGGUUGGUGUCUUGGAUGGGCCUCUACUUCUUUCCAUCGCGCACGACAGCCCAUUGCAUAACAACGUUCUCAAACAUGGGGACACGAUACUUCUUUUUCAUUUUGCUGACCACGAUGUAUGGAAAAACGGUCAGUCGCGUCACUGGCUUGUCCCUGCCAGGUGCGACGCUCUUAAAACUAAAGCGGGAUGCUUUUCUGUGCCCCGCUGCUGUCCGGUAGCUGGGGUGCUUCUGUUCACAACAGAAAGGAGCUUUUCAGCUGGUGAUAGUGCAGUAGUUGUUGGGAAGGUAACAGAUGCAAACCGCACGGAGGAGCCCUUGUGCGCACCCCUUUCGUUGUGCUCUUCCUUGUUUCACUACACACCGUUUGUGUGCAAAUUUCUUCAUCGGCAGCACGGUCCUAUCGGUUUUGUCGGUUUUUCGUUUUCGUUCUGCAGCACUACUCCUCUGUUGGCUAUCGCGUUGCUUCCUCUUCAUGUCAAUGACUUCAUCAGCUCCGAAACGGAUGUGGAUCCGACGGUAGUGCUCUUUUUCUUUCGUCGAGAGUACAACGGGUUUUCAGUGCGUACGUACCCGUACUUCACUGAUGCGCUGCCGUGCCCUCUCCAUUGUUUGACUGAGGAGAAAAGGAGCUUGGUUGCAGGUACAGCGACUUGUCGUCUACUUCAGGUGGAAUCGCUACUUGCUGAAUCGAGCACGUUUAUGAUAUUAUCUGUGAGCCAAAUCGCCUUUGACGGAUGUGAAAUUUUGCAGUUUGGGAAAUGCUGAGCAGUAACAGUCAUUUCGUCAACUCUACUGUGUACAAAACUUUUCCAAGAUGAUUAUCAAAAGAGAUGAACCGAGUUUUCGGCUUUUAAGGUAUUCCAUGGAAAGAAAUCCUGUGCUCUAUGCUUAUCAUGUCGAAAGGGAACAAAAAAAAAUGAUUCUCUCGAAUGUGCGCGGCCUUCUGCUAGGAAAACUAAAACGAAUUGCGGUGCCCGCUUAUCUCUUGUUUUUUACUAUUCUUAUUUUCGGUGCUUUACGUUCUUAG